This 403-nucleotide ribosomal RNA is filed under the name uncultured Gammaproteobacteria bacterium. RNAcentral describes it as "bacterial SSU rRNA". It matches the Rfam family "Bacterial small subunit ribosomal RNA", at positions 9 to 416 of the family's 1533-position model. Lineage: Bacteria; Pseudomonadati; Pseudomonadota; Gammaproteobacteria. The record is from RNAcentral.
GAGUUUGAUCGUGGCUCAGAUUGAACGCUGGCGGCAGGCCUAACACAUGCAAGUCGAGCGGCAGCGCGGGGCAACCUGGCGGCGAGCGGCGGACGGGUGAGUAACGCGUAGGAAUCUACCCAGUAGCGGGGGAUAGCCCGGGGAAACUCGGAUUAAUACCGCAUACGCCCUAAGGGGGAAAGCAGGGGAUCUUCGGACCUUGCACUAUUGGCAGAGCCUGCGUUGGAUUAGCUAGUUGGUAGGGUAAAGGCCUACCAAGGCAACGAUCCAUAACUGGUCUGAGAGGAUGAUCAGUCACACCGGAACUGAGACACGGUCCGGACUCCUACGGGAGGCAGCAGUGGGGAAUAUUGGACAAUGGGGGCAACCCUGAUCCAGCCAUGCCGCGUGUGUGAAGAAGGCC